GCAUCCUUAGUUUAACGGAUAAAACUGCGGCCUUCGAAGCCGUUGAUGGGGGUUCGAUUCCCUCAGGAUGCACCA
Molecule: transfer RNA, 75 nt
Filed under: Patescibacteria group bacterium
Lineage: Bacteria
Description: tRNA-Arg
Rfam family: tRNA
About the family: Transfer RNA (tRNA) molecules are approximately 80 nucleotides in length. Their secondary structure includes four short double-helical elements and three loops (D, anti-codon, and T loops).
Source: RNAcentral